AACAAUUGCCUUGACAUCAUCUCUCUGUAUAGCCUGGUCAAAACUCUCCUUUAAACUAUGCAAUACUAGAGAGACAGAGAGAUAAAUGAGCAAUAUAUGAUCAUUUUAAGUAAUAGAAAGUAACCUACGGAAGGAACACUUAGAAAAGGAGCACUUAGGUAGUGCUGGGGAACAAAAGAUACAUCAAGAGGGUUACCUUGGAAUUAUUCAAAUAUAUUCAGCAUCCACUUCCUCCUCCGUAAUUCUUACAAGGAAAAAUAGCGAAGAAAAAAAAGAAAGGGCUUGAGAAGGUAAAAAAAUAUGAAAGAAACCUAACCUGUUUAAGUGCAGGGCAUCAGCAGAGGAUAAAAAAUAUUGAAGAAACCAUGAAUGAAAAUAGAUUUAGUAGUACUAUUGCAAAUUGAAGCCACUGAUGAACUAAAUAUAAUCAUGUGAAACUUCAAAUUCUCGAUGAGAAUUACAAUGGAUCAAAGUGCAAGGAGUGUGUGUGGAACAAUAAUUGAAUUAUAAAUAGAAUUACUGAACAGAAAUAUCUAAAUCAAAAUAGAAUAACAUUUGUUGACAUGUAUAUGAAUGACUCAAUAGAAACAAAAUUGUAUCCACCUUAAUAUUUGAGAGGAAUAAGCUUAAAUCAAUCUUCCUAAAUACAUAGCACAUCUUCAAUAGCUUGUCAUAUCAGUCCAGAAGGGUUGAUGAUGGUGAUGAUGUCAACCCCAUCAGCUCCAACCUCCAUGAGCAUGAGCCCUUUGCUAUCCAUUAAUAUUAUUACGCAAUGGAGUGAGAAUCGAAGGAUGUGAUUGAAUAAUUAGAAGGAAGAGGAGGAUCGUGAACGUUCUGUCUGAUGCGUGAUGCAUUCCAGAAAGGGUUAGGGUUUGUGUAGAUGACAUCUUAAUUUUGCUUUCGAAAAAAUGUUGGAAAAAAAUCAUCAUAUAUAUCAUGUCUCAUUCUCCCGAUACGAAGCUCAAUAUUUUCUUUUUGUACUUCGGAAAGAUAAAUUGCACCUGUCAGAAAUCGAUCAUUGAACCUCCCCUUACCCAACCCAUAUGUCCCAACUCCUACCACUUGAGCUAUCAUACGGGGACGAAACUCAAUAUAUUCCUAUAAAAACAAAGAUGAGAAAGUCGCAACUUAAACAAACAUUCCAUGAUUCGCGAAACAUUCG
RNAcentral lists this long non-coding RNA (1162 nucleotides) under Lotus japonicus. Its description in RNAcentral is "long non-coding RNA (LJAP_LNC000318)". Lineage: Eukaryota; Viridiplantae; Streptophyta; Magnoliopsida; Fabales; Fabaceae. The record is from RNAcentral.